GGGGAUGUAAAGGUUUCGACAGGGAUUAUGAACCUGAGUAAGCGGGUAGUGGCGCGGACACACUUUAAAAUCCGUAAUUUUAAAAUUAAACGACAACAAUAAAGUUGCCUUAGCAGCCUAAUUAGGCUGCCGUCCAAUCAAAGAGUACCGCGGCUUUGUGCGGGCGUCGAUCAGCGGUAAAUCUGAAUUAAAAAGUUUUCCGGUUUUAAUCAGAAAUUAAGGAAAUACCGAAUUGAGAUUUUUGUUUGUUAAAGCUUAAAAAGGGAAAUUAAAAAACAAACUCCACCCGAAGAAAUCUCAGGGAACUGAUUUUUGGACACGGGUUCAAUUCCCGUCAUCUCCACCA
RNAcentral lists this transfer-messenger RNA (346 nucleotides) under Acutalibacteraceae. RNAcentral's name for it is "UMGS1279 sp902796905 Standard tmRNA". It matches the Rfam family "transfer-messenger RNA". Rfam says of the family: Bacterial tmRNA, also known as 10Sa RNA or SsrA, is named for its dual tRNA and mRNA-like properties. Its role is to liberate the mRNA from a stalled ribosome. The record is from RNAcentral. Lineage: Bacteria; Bacillati; Bacillota; Clostridia; Eubacteriales. RNAcentral also lists the same sequence under 1 other name.